AUGUUGGUUUUUUACCUGUUUCCCCUCAGCAAGGCCCAACUGGGUAAAGCAUGCAAUGCAGGCAUAAGUUGCUACGAGAACCAAACACACCCUAGUGAAAGCACAAGUGCUCCCUGGGUGAUUUUGGUAAUUAAUGUCAACAUAUCUCUUGCUGGACUAAUAUUUUCAUCUAGUAUAUUUCAGAAAGUUCAACAAAGGCGUGGCAUGGACAAUAGGAUGUGGAACCCCUUCAAGAUGUUAAGGACAAAGAUUGGCAAAAGCUCGAGACUCUUCAUUUCUAUUUUAGUGAUCCAAGAUCACAUUGAGUCCAUAGGAAAAUCCAAUACUAUUAAAAGGGGAUGA
This 342-nucleotide ribosomal RNA is filed under the name Triticum aestivum (bread wheat). RNAcentral's name for it is "partial small subunit ribosomal RNA". The record is from RNAcentral. Lineage: Eukaryota; Viridiplantae; Streptophyta; Magnoliopsida; Poales; Poaceae.